Molecule: RNA transcript, 1982 nt
Organism: Populus euphratica (Euphrates poplar)
Lineage: Eukaryota; Viridiplantae; Streptophyta; Magnoliopsida; Malpighiales; Salicaceae
Exons: 8
Source: RefSeq, a predicted model, not a curated record
CGCGACAUUUUUUUUUUUUUUGGAAUGAAGUUGUUGCUGGGAAUGAAAAGCAAUUUUCAAGCACUCAGAUCACUCAUUGUUGCAAAAUAUCCCGUGGACCGUCAGUCAUUUUCUAACAUGGUCCCCUUCCAAGAUACAUGGAGGGCACUUGCAUUCAUGGUCCAUUCAUUUCCAUACCUCCUCUUUCCUCUGUCACAUGGAUACACAGUGCAUGCCUUCAUCUUCUUCCUUGCACUCCAAAAGUCACAAAAAUGUCACUGUGAUUCCACCGUUGAUUAGAAGGCAACAAAAGAACACCACAGUUUACUUCAAGUACAGGAUCCGUGGCUAUCUUGCUUGUGCCUGCAGAUGCCCGCAAGAGCGACGGGAAAUUACAACUCAAAGACCUUUAGUAACGAAGGCAAAGAAAGUUCCUGUAGAAUUGAGUGAGGAGCCUGCUAAAGGAACUGUUGCUGGUGCUGUUGCUCUUAUUAUUGGUACCAGUAUUGGUUCUGGGAUACUUGCCCUGCCACAGAAAGCUUCUACUGCAGGAGUCAUUCCAAGUUCAAUAUGCAUGAUAGUAUGUUGGGGUUUUCUCCUAAUUGAAGCACUUUUGCUUGUUGAGAUCAAUGUGGGUUUGAGGAGGAAGCAAGGAAAAAAUGAAGAUGAGAGUGAACUAGAUGUCAUAUCUAUUAGGACUAUGGCUCAAGAGACCCUAGGAGACUGGGGUGGAACCUUGGCUACCAUUACCUAUGUCUUCUUGGCUUACACUUCCAUGAUUGCCUAUACUUCCAAGUCUGGAGAGAUCCUUUUUCAUUUGGUAAAUCUUCCAGAAUCUGUUUCAUCCUGCCUCUUCACUACUAUAUUCACUGUGCUAGUUUCCGUUGGUGGGACUCAAGCAACUGAUCAAGUCAAUCAAUGGCUUACUGCUUCCAUGAUAGGUUUGCUACUAGCGAUUGAGGUGAUAGCUGUUGCUUUCGGAGGGUGGUCAGGAUUGGAGGGAAGUGGUGACUGGGGAAAAGUUCCAGCUACAAUUCCUGUGAUGAUUUUUGCUUUAGUGUAUCAUGAUCUAGCACCUGUUCUCUGUGCUUAUUUGGGUGGUGACCUUAAGCGACUAAGGACUUCAGUUUUGCUGGGUAGCAGUGUUCCUUUGCUGGCCUUGCUUGUUUGGGAUGCAAUUGCACUUGGCCUUUCUGCCCAGGCUGAUCAAGUUGUUGAUCCAGUUUUGCUUAUGAGUGAGAGAUGGAGUGGGGUUUCAUAUAUGGUAGAGGCCUUCUCACUUCUUGCAGUAGCAACAUCAUUGAUUGGCACUCUCCUUGGCUUCUUGGAGUUCUUCAAGGAGCAACUGAAGAACCUCUCAAGGGAUUCGAAAGCUACACGAACAUUACAGCGUAAAAUGCAAAGAUAUUACAGGAACCAAUUGGGUUGGGUGAAUGGUGGGAAAGGAAUAAAAUCAGCUUCACGGCAAAGGCAAUGGCAGUUGCUCCAACGCUAGUCGUCUCAACCAUUGUUCCAGAUGCAUUCUCCGCCGCCACAGACAUCGCUGGAGGCUACUGCAUGACAAUUCUCUAUGGAGUUCUCCCACCGGCAAUGGCGUGGGCAAUGUAUAACAAGGAACAAGAGGACAGUAGUCAAAAUGAGCUAUCAAGAGUAAGGCCUGCUCUUCUUGGGGUGGGCAUCUUAGCAGGUGGGAUAGUGGUGGAGCAAAUCUUGCAGGAUUUCUCAGCAUUGCACCAUUAAAAAGGACAGCCAAAAUCAUUCCACUCCAAAUAUGAAUUGCCUUUAAUGUUACGACCAACUUGUGAAUCGAAAUACGUAUUGUUUCAGAAUAUGAAAUGCAUAGAAUAAGAGAGCACCAUCGGCUUCUAAGCAUAACCAGGCAAACAUAUUUUUCCUCCUGCCUGGGGUCGCCUGCCACAACAAGAGGCCCUCUUGUGGGCGACAAAACACAGGCCAAUGACCCGUUAUGAUGAAAUUGUAAAUGGUUAUGGGGGUUUGACGUU